Molecule: non-coding RNA, 54 nt
Organism: Danio rerio (zebrafish)
Lineage: Eukaryota; Metazoa; Chordata; Actinopteri; Cypriniformes; Danionidae
Source: Rfam
UGUGUUCACAUGUGUAAAUCGCUUUGGAUAAAAGCAUCUGCUAAAUGCAUAAAU